AUUCCAGGCGCGUAGCUCCCUAUACGCCAACACGCAGUUGCGUGCACAUCAAUUCGGCAUGCAAAAAAAAAAUGGCAAAAUAAAAAUUUAUAAAUUAAAUGUUUACAGGAAACACAUAUAUGUAAUCGCUUUUUUAAAUGAUGUAAUGUCAUUAAAUAGCGGCAUUUGGUUUCAAAAUUAAAGUUUUAUUAGAGAUGAAAAGACUAACAGUAACUUGCCUCUAUUACAAGAUUUGAAUUCGUUAUCAUCUCUAGUAGUUUCGGGGCAGUACGGUUUAACUGUUUGGACUGCGAUGUACCAAUUGACAUUAGAUUUAUCAGUACCCUUCGAUAUCGUUGAAAGUAUGCCGAGGCGAUGUGUUCGACAGACUACCAGAGCCAAUCCCCCCAGCAAACACGCUAAAACAGUAUUGGAAAGUCUCAUUAUAUUUUGCGUUCAUAGACCACAUGAUAAUGGAACUGGAGUCGCGUCUGAUAUCAUCAGGAAAUCGCUUCUAUGUGCAUUAUCUGCUUCCUCGUGUUGUCGGUAAUACAACAAACAAACAAAUCUCUGCAUUGUUUGAGACAUACGAAACUGGCCUGGCAUAUAAUUUGUCUAAUUCAAUCGGGAGGUCGCUCGAUGGCGAACACGAGUGCUACCGCGGGCGGAGAGAUCGUUCAGUGUACUACAUCUGUUGAAAACAUAUGUAUGA
This 691-nucleotide long non-coding RNA is filed under the name Mytilus galloprovincialis (Mediterranean mussel). Lineage: Eukaryota; Metazoa; Mollusca; Bivalvia; Mytilida; Mytilidae. The record is from RNAcentral.